AUAUAAAAUUCCUAGAGUGGACUUUAAAUGAUUGUCUUCCCAGCAGAACUGAUAAUCCAGUAGGAAUUGAAUGAAAACUAGUUCACAGCUGAAUUGAAAAGGAAUACCCAAGGCUUAAAGGACUUUGCAAGGGUUGUUCUCUAUCCAUGGAACAUACUCUCUCUUUAAUUCCUCCACGAAGAUUUCCUAUCUUCUUUCAAGACACAGCAAGAACCAACUUCUAUGUGGAGUCUUUUCUAAUCCCCAAGUUCCAAUUCCCUCCUUCUCAAGAUGUUCAGUUCUCAAAUUUAUGGCAGAAAAACCUGGAUCUGAUAAAGACCUCCUGGCCAUCAUCUGGUAAAGUGGAUUCUGUGAAAAGGAGGCCAGUCAUUCCAACCAACUACCAAAUAACUCUUUCAUAGAGGAGAUACAAGGCACCCUAAGGAAGAGACAGGAAGCUGCAUGUGCCAGACAAGCCAAACCGCCAUGACCACCAUAUUAGUCAUCAUCUCACUUCAGACUCUGAAAGAAGCAGCCCAAUACCUUAAAUUGAAAAGCCUUGAAAACAGUAGCAUCUUUCAAAGCACCAGAUUUGUUUUAAGGUCAGCCUCAAGAGCCAUCAUAAAGUGAGAUAUCAUUUUGGAGAAAGGGAACAACUUUCUCAUCAUCACAGUAAUUAAUACGACCAACUAUCACCAGAAAGAUAGGCACAGGAUCCUUGUGAAUGGUGUACAAUAUAUUUCAUCAGGGGAAAUCACAUUAAAGAAUAGAUAUUACCAUCUACCUUGCUGCUUCAUCUUAAGGCCCAAGGGACUUUUCCAUUUGAUUCGUAACUGAAACUUUCUGUAUAUGCUCUGUUGCCCCAUUAGAAUGGGAAUUCCUUGAAAACAAGGACUUGAUUUUCUAUUUGCAUUCCCAAUCCUUAGCAUAUGUUUGGCACAUUGUAAAUACUUAAAUAUUUUAUAACUUUAUUUCUUCCUUUCUUCCUUCCUUCCUAAAGUAUCUUAACUUACCUAGAUCACUCAUGUGCCAGACAGGUGAGAAAUACAAACACACAGGUGAAAAAAUUUAUACCCUGAAGGAAUUCGUAUUAGAAACUCUUAGGCUGAGGAGUGUAACCCAUUCACAGGUAAAUAAAUAUUGGAUUUAUACAAAAUCA
Molecule: long non-coding RNA, 1138 nt
Filed under: Monodelphis domestica (gray short-tailed opossum)
Lineage: Eukaryota; Metazoa; Chordata; Mammalia; Didelphimorphia; Didelphidae
Description: lncRNA (ENSMODG00000039548.1)
Source: RNAcentral